Molecule: microRNA precursor, 196 nt
Filed under: Oryza brachyantha (malo sina)
Lineage: Eukaryota; Viridiplantae; Streptophyta; Magnoliopsida; Poales; Poaceae
Description: MIR812 microRNA precursor family
Rfam family: MIR812 microRNA precursor family
Source: Rfam by way of RNAcentral
AAUAAACGAAUUUCUGUGUUUUUUUUAGAAUUUUUGUCUCUUCGUCUUAUUUAAAAUUUUUUUAUGAUUAAUUUUUUUAUUGUUACUACAUGAUAAACAUUAAUAGCACUUUACGUCUAACUAAUUUUUUUCAAUCUUUUAAUAAAUUUUUCAAAUAAAACGGAUGGUCAAACAUUCGAUAUACACAUCUGUUAAA